AGUGAACGCUGGCGGUAGGCCUAACACAUGCAAGUCGAACGGCAGCACAGUAAGAGCUUGCUCUUACGGGUGGCGAGUGGCGGACGGGUGAGGAAUACAGCGGAAUCUACUUUUUCGUGGGGGAUAACGUAGGGAAACUUACGCUAAUACCGCAUACGACCUACGGGUGAAAGCAGGGGAUCUUCGGACCUUGCGCGAUUGAAUGAGCCGAUGUCGGAUUAGCUAGUUGGCGGGGUAAAGGCCCACCAAGGCGACGAUCCGUAGCUGGUCUGAGAGGAUGAUCAGCCACACUGGAACUGAGACACGGUCCAGACUCCUACGGGAGGCAGCAGUGGGGAAUAUUGGACAAUGGGCGCAAGCCUGAUCCAGCCAUACCGCGUGUGUGAAGAAGGCCUUCGGGUUGUAAAGCCCUUUUGUUGGGAAAGAAAAGAAGCAGGUUAAUACCCCGCUGUUCUGACGUUACCCAAAGAAUAAGCACCGGCUAACUUCGUG
Molecule: ribosomal RNA, 492 nt
Filed under: uncultured bacterium
Lineage: Bacteria
Description: partial 16S ribosomal RNA
Rfam family: Bacterial small subunit ribosomal RNA
Source: RNAcentral